CUGUGCAGAUGUGGCAGUAACCAUGACAUCACUGAGAAGGCAAUUCUCUUUCUGAUGCACUGACUGAAAAACCAGGACACACCGUGCACACCCCCUCCCACAGUCGUGGGGGGUUGUUCUUGCACGCAGCCUGAAAAGACCGUCCUGAAGAUUUUUCUGUGUGCUGAAGUUUCACCCAAAGGGAACAAGUGGGCCACACUAGCCACGUACAGCAACAUCCCAUUUGGUGAAGUUUGGACACCGCAAAACCCUUUGGAACCCUGAUCCUCUCCUGACUGUAAAAUGGUAUAUGUG
Long non-coding RNA from Zonotrichia leucophrys gambelii, 294 nucleotides. RefSeq lists it as uncharacterized. Lineage: Eukaryota; Metazoa; Chordata; Aves; Passeriformes; Passerellidae. The transcript has 3 exons. The record is from RefSeq and is a predicted model, not a curated record.